CAAAUGUUCGCGGGAAGCCUGAAAAAAGGAGUGGGCAGGUCUGUCCCAUUGAUGCUGUGGCUGCCAAGCCUCAUACCAAAACUUCUGAGUUAUUGGUGCAACUCCGUGGACCAGCUUAGAAGAGUUCCAAUCCAGAUUCUUUUUCUGAGUGCUAAUUGGCUGCUUUAGAUGUGAAAAUGGCUUAAAUUGUGCAGAAGUAGGAAGAGUUCUAAAGUAUCAAGCUCAGCAGAACCUGUACUGUACACAGAACUCAUCAGAGUAUUCUAAAGGAUAAAAAUAAAUGAGAAGACAAAAUAAAACAACUAGCAACAGCAGAAGAGAUUCAGCUAUUCUAGUGAGGGAGCAGUCCCCAGAACAGCUUUUCAAGAGAAAUAAUUCUAUCAAUUUUUCUCACAAAUCUCUUGAGGGUUUUGGAACAACACAGGUACUGUACAUUGAAAAAGAUGGAGGGUUGGAUCUUGGUCACUUGCCUCCUAGGUGCAACAUUUGCUGUACUAGAUUAAAGAGACCAGGAAAUCAGAAAAAAGCAAAAGUAUUCUAGGCAUUUUCACUUGCUUUCAAGAAUCCAUAGUUCCACUGCAGUCAAUGAUGCAUGCUUCCAUUGACUCUACUUCUUAGUGAAUGCUAUAGCCCCCCCCAAAAAAAGAAAGAAAAAAGUACA
Molecule: long non-coding RNA, 661 nt
Organism: Mauremys mutica (yellowpond turtle)
Lineage: Eukaryota; Metazoa; Chordata; Testudines; Geoemydidae
Exons: 6
Source: RefSeq, a predicted model, not a curated record